CCUACGGGAGGCAGCAGUGGGGAAUAUUGCGCAAUGGGCGAAAGCCUGACGCAGCGACGCCGCGUGAGGGAUGAAGGUCUUCGGAUCGUAAACCUCUGUCAGCAGGGAAGAACGGUCACUGUGCUAAUCAGCAGUGAAUUGACGGUACCUGCAAAGGAAGCACCGGCUAACUCCGUGCCAGCAGCCGCGGUAAUACGGAGGGUGCGAGCGUUAGUCGGAAUUACUGGGCGUAAGGCGCUCGUAGGCGGUUUGACAAGUCAAAGGUGAAAUCCCCGGGCUCAACGUGGGAACUGCCUUUGAAACUGGUGAACGGGAGUGUGGGAGAGGAUAGUGGAAUUCCAGGUGUAGGAGUGAAAUCCGUAGAUAUCUGGAGGAACAUCAGUGGCGAAGGCGACUAUCUGGCACAUAACUGACGCUGAGGAGCGAAAGCGUGGGUAGCAAACAGGAUUAGAUACCCCGGUAGUC
RNAcentral lists this ribosomal RNA (465 nucleotides) under uncultured bacterium. RNAcentral describes it as "partial 16S ribosomal RNA". It matches the Rfam family "Bacterial small subunit ribosomal RNA", at positions 338 to 795 of the family's 1533-position model. The record is from RNAcentral.